Molecule: transfer RNA, 73 nt
Filed under: Camelus bactrianus (Bactrian camel)
Lineage: Eukaryota; Metazoa; Chordata; Mammalia; Artiodactyla; Camelidae
Also listed under: 2 other names
Rfam family: tRNA
About the family: Transfer RNA (tRNA) molecules are approximately 80 nucleotides in length.
Source: Rfam by way of RNAcentral
GUGGGUACAGCUCAAGUGGCAGAGUGCAUGCUUAGCAUGCACAAGGUCCUGGGUUCAAUCCCCAGUACCUCCU